Scylla paramamosain (green mud crab) is the source of this 858-nucleotide long non-coding RNA. RefSeq lists it as uncharacterized. The transcript is spliced from 3 exons. Lineage: Eukaryota; Metazoa; Arthropoda; Malacostraca; Decapoda; Portunidae. The record is from RefSeq and is a predicted model, not a curated record.
CUUCGCAGGAACUGACACCGUGAAGGAGAUAAGGGAGACUCACAGUCCGUCGCAGUGUUAUUUUGAUAGCUGAAUAUCUGGUCUGGUGAAGCAACUGAGGUCUCUUUACCCAUCCUGUGACUUCCCUGUGUGGCUGACACCUUCCCCACAUACUGAGUAACACUCAUGUCCCGCCAUCAAUAUCUUGGAGUGAUGGUAACAGUAGUGUUAUAUAUAAUAACACUGCUGGGGCCUGCCUCGGGUUACGACAGCGGGGAUUUAUUAGAGCAGACCAACGCGACUGAUCUUACUGAGGCGACUGCCGCUGAGGACAUCAGCAGGGUCAGGUGCAUAGCAUGUCCAUCUGGCUGUGAUCAUUGUCACCAGUAUGUGAAUGGCCAGUGCCGACCAAUCUUUGGCUGCCAGUAACAAGUCUAUACUCCGAAGCCACCAUCACUACCACUGCUCACAAAACACAUUGAAUUUCUAUAUAACAUGUAAUAUCAUUUAGUAUUAUAUAUAUAUAUAUAUAUAUAUAUAUAUAUAUAUAUAUAUAUAUAUAUAUAUAUAUAUAUAUAUAUAUAUAUAUAUAUAUAUAUAUAUAUUAUAGACAGAAUGAGAGCAUAACCUUUUGAUUUGACUGUACAUUGAAAUUACCCAUUUUAUAUUCAGCUAAAAAUGUUCUAUAAGAGUCAGUGAGUCCUUCAAAAGUUUCCUAGGAUUAAUAAGUUUAUUUGGUAAGUUGCAAGAACUAUAAUUUGUAUCUCUUUAAUCUAGUGUCAUCUGAGACAUACAUGACUUUUUAUGCUUAUGAAAUGCAAAUAAAUUACUUAUUGUGUAUUUACAAAUGAAUAAAGCUUCAAACAAGAUGUAACAGUA